UAUAAGGCCCCACCAUCCCCUCUGCA
This 26-nucleotide unclassified non-coding RNA is filed under the name Mus musculus (house mouse). RNAcentral describes it as "oocyte_clustered_small_RNA6932". Lineage: Eukaryota; Metazoa; Chordata; Mammalia; Rodentia; Muridae. The record is from RNAcentral.